Molecule: long non-coding RNA, 329 nt
Organism: Balaenoptera musculus (blue whale)
Lineage: Eukaryota; Metazoa; Chordata; Mammalia; Artiodactyla; Balaenopteridae
Exons: 3
Source: RefSeq, a predicted model, not a curated record
UGGUUACCUAGCAACGCAGCCACUGAGAUUGCCGAGGAGACCAAGAGGAGUGACCUAAAUCAUGCCACGGAACUCCUCCUCUCUUCCUGCUGGUGGAGGUGCCAGAUAUAUUGAUAUCCGCUCCGCCUCACCUUCUGCACACAAUCGCAGGUGGGAAGAAGCUGUCGCAAGCCACUGCGAGCCGUCUGCCCAGGCUCCACAUGAGCUCCAGCACCUCGCCACCCCGACGGCCUCGCCCUAUCUGUGUUCUGAACUCUGAGCCUCGACAAGACCCUGCAGAGUGCAGAGCCAGGCAUCCUCGGCCCCAACACCCUCAGUGCCCAGCUCCG